Molecule: transfer RNA, 69 nt
Filed under: Rasbora sumatrana
Lineage: Eukaryota; Metazoa; Chordata; Actinopteri; Cypriniformes; Danionidae
Also listed under: 5 other names
Description: tRNA-Phe
Rfam family: tRNA
About the family: Transfer RNA (tRNA) molecules are approximately 80 nucleotides in length. Their secondary structure includes four short double-helical elements and three loops (D, anti-codon, and T loops). Further hydrogen bonds mediate the characteristic L-shaped molecular structure. tRNAs have two regions of fundamental functional importance: the anti-codon, which is responsible for specific mRNA codon recognition, and the 3' end, to which the tRNAs corresponding amino acid is attached (by aminoacyl-tRNA synthetases). tRNAs cope with the degeneracy of the genetic code in two manners: having more than one tRNA (with a specific anti-codon) for a particular amino acid; and 'wobble' base-pairing, i.e. permitting non-standard base-pairing at the 3rd anti-codon position.
Source: RNAcentral
GCUAGCGUAGCUUAACACAAAGCAUAGCACUGAAAAUGCUAGGAUGGGUCCUAAAAAACCCCGCACGCA